AACGCGAAGAACCUUACCUACACUUGACAUCCCUUGCAUUACUCUUAAUCGAGGAAAUCCCUUCGGGGACAAGGUGACAGGUGGUGCAUGGUUGUCGUCAGCUCGUGUCGUGAGAUGUUGGGUUAAGUCCCGCAACGAGCGCAACCCUUGUCGUUAGUUACUACCAUUAAGUUGAGGACUCUAGCGAGACUGCCUGGGUUAACCAGGAGGAAGGUGGGGAUGACGUCAAAUCAUCAUGCCCCUUAUGUGUAGGGCUACACACGUGCUACAAUGGCUGGUACAGAGAGAUGCAAUACCGCGAGGUGGAGCCAAACUUAAAAACCAGUCUCAGUUCGGAUUGUAGGCUGAAACUCGCCUACAUGAAGC
Molecule: ribosomal RNA, 366 nt
Filed under: bacterium enrichment culture DGGE gel band G15
Lineage: Bacteria
Description: bacterial SSU rRNA
Rfam family: Bacterial small subunit ribosomal RNA
Source: RNAcentral